GGGGUUGUGGCUCAGCGGUAGAGCACUCACCUUGUGUGUGUGCGGCCCUGGGUUCGAUCCUCAGCACCA
Molecule: non-coding RNA, 69 nt
Organism: Ictidomys tridecemlineatus (thirteen-lined ground squirrel)
Lineage: Eukaryota; Metazoa; Chordata; Mammalia; Rodentia; Sciuridae
Source: Rfam